This 390-nucleotide ribosomal RNA is filed under the name uncultured Pantoea sp. Its description in RNAcentral is "bacterial SSU rRNA". It matches the Rfam family "Bacterial small subunit ribosomal RNA", at positions 1127 to 1516 of the family's 1533-position model. The record is from RNAcentral. Lineage: Bacteria; Pseudomonadati; Pseudomonadota; Gammaproteobacteria; Enterobacterales; Erwiniaceae.
CCGGCCGGGAACUCAAAGGAGACUGCCGGUGAUAAACCGGAGGAAGGUGGGGAUGACGUCAAGUCAUCAUGGCCCUUACGGCCAGGGCUACACACGUGCUACAAUGGCGCAUACAAAGAGAAGCGACCUCGCGAGAGCAAGCGGACCUCAUAAAGUGCGUCGUAGUCCGGAUUGGAGUCUGCAACUCGACUCCAUGAAGUCGGAAUCGCUAGUAAUCGUAGAUCAGAAUGCUACGGUGAAUACGUUCCCGGGCCUUGUACACACCGCCCGUCACACCAUGGGAGUGGGUUGCAAAAGAAGUAGGUAGCUUAACCUCCGGGAGGGCGCUUACCACUUUGUGAUUCAUGACUGGGGUGAAGUCGUAACAAGGUAACCAAGGGCGAAUUCCAG